RNAcentral lists this transfer RNA (77 nucleotides) under Candidatus Hydrogenedentota bacterium. RNAcentral's name for it is "tRNA-His". It matches the Rfam family "tRNA". Rfam says of the family: Transfer RNA (tRNA) molecules are approximately 80 nucleotides in length. Their secondary structure includes four short double-helical elements and three loops (D, anti-codon, and T loops). RNAcentral also lists the same sequence under 1 other name. The record is from RNAcentral. Lineage: Bacteria; Pseudomonadati; Candidatus Hydrogenedentota.
GCCGGGGUAGCUCAGCUGGUUAGAGCGCUGGAUUGUGGAUCCAGAGGUCGACGGUUCAAACCCGUCCCCCGGUACCA